This 66-nucleotide transfer RNA is filed under the name Megacopta bituminata. Its description in RNAcentral is "tRNA-Asp". The record is from RNAcentral. Lineage: Eukaryota; Metazoa; Arthropoda; Insecta; Hemiptera; Plataspidae.
AAGAAAUUAGUUUUAAAUAUAAAACAUUAACUUGUCAAGUUAAAAAUAUUAUAAUAAUAUUUCUUA